CGCGUAGGCGGCCGAUUAAGUCGGGGGUGAAAGCCUGUGGCUCAACCACAGAAUUGCCUUCGAUACUGGUUGGCUUGAGACCGGAAGAGGACAGCGGAACUGCGAGUGUAGAGGUGAAAUUCGUAGAUAUUCGCAAGAACACCAGUGGCGAAGGCGGCUGUCUGGUCCGGUUCUGACGCUGAGGCGCGAAAGCGUGGGGAGCAAACAGGAUUAGAUACCCCCGUA
RNAcentral lists this ribosomal RNA (225 nucleotides) under uncultured Methylobacterium sp. Its description in RNAcentral is "partial 16S ribosomal RNA". It matches the Rfam family "Bacterial small subunit ribosomal RNA", at positions 568 to 792 of the family's 1533-position model. Lineage: Bacteria; Pseudomonadati; Pseudomonadota; Alphaproteobacteria; Hyphomicrobiales; Methylobacteriaceae. The record is from RNAcentral.